RNAcentral lists this transfer-messenger RNA (357 nucleotides) under Clostridia. Its description in RNAcentral is "Merdicola sp944390295 Standard tmRNA". It matches the Rfam family "transfer-messenger RNA". From Rfam's summary of the family: Bacterial tmRNA, also known as 10Sa RNA or SsrA, is named for its dual tRNA and mRNA-like properties. Its role is to liberate the mRNA from a stalled ribosome. RNAcentral also lists the same sequence under 1 other name. The record is from RNAcentral. Lineage: Bacteria; Bacillati; Bacillota.
GGGGGUGUAAUGGUUUCGACAUUAAUCUUGAAGUACGAAAAGCGAGUAGUGGAUGGUUGCUUUGGCCACUAUAAAAAAGCAAAACUAAAUAUAAACGCUAAUAACGAAGAAUUAGCUUACGCUGCCUAGUUGCAACGUCGUUUAAAUUAUAAAGCCUACUGUUAUAAUUUAGGCGCCAAAUUAAAGUAGGAAACGAAACUAUUAGUUCUCUGGAAUAGUGGGUAAUUAAGAGAUACUAUAUAAAUUGUUUUGUUUAUUAAUCAAUUUAUAUUAGGAAAUUUAAAUAAUAAACUGCACUCGGAGAAAUUCGUAUGGACGGGUUGAUGGACAGGAGUUCGACUCUCCUCACCUCCACCA